UUUGGGAACACAUGGGCUGCCACCUCCCUGCCCCAGCAGAACUAGUACCCUCUGAUGGUCUACUUCAACCAGGAGACUCUGUCCUCUUAAAGGAACUCCAUCCUUGAUCACUCCAACCACGCUGGAUGGUACCCCAUAUGGUGAUUCUCACCAUCCCUACAUCAGCCAAACUAUUAGGCCAUCCUUCUUGGUAUCACAUUUCUUGCCUCAAGCUUGCCCCAGGCCCUAAGGCCUGGUCAUGACAAUUGGUGGGACCCACUAAACUCAAGAUCAUCUGUGGGCCUCCCACUUCUUUUCCUCUUGAGUCUGUUCCUACAGGUGCCCUGACCUGAAUGACGCUGCCUAAUCCCUACUGCUGGCGUUUCCAGCUACAGGAGACCUGGGAUGGUAAGACCCAGACAUUAGGAACCAGUGAUUGCCAAAAUGCUGGUUGCCAGACAACUGUAUCCAUUCUACUAACCAGCCUCAGUCUUCCUGGCCAAGCACCCCUCCUCUGCCUCCUCUAUGACCAAACCAAGCGGUACUGCAAGUCCCCACCAGAUAUUUAUGGAGGAUGCCCUCACACUUCCUGCAAUAUGCACAAGCUCAGAGAGACCACCCAACCCAAUUCCUAGAUACCUAUUCUGGAGGUCGGACCUAUCUGAACAUCAGAGAUCCCUGGGAUAAUCGCUGGACAGCAGGAGUAGAGAGAAAGCUGUACGUAUGGUCCUGGGACAUUUCCCCCUUUGGAACUCUUAAGAUUUUCCACACCUACACCCGAGUGCUCCACCAAAAAUCCUACAGAAAGAAACUGCACUCAUUCACCACUAGGGGCACACGAGGCAGAGAAGGGAGACCAUUUUCAUUUCUGGCCCUUGUACAAUGUCAGAG
RNAcentral lists this long non-coding RNA (870 nucleotides) under Marmota monax (woodchuck). Lineage: Eukaryota; Metazoa; Chordata; Mammalia; Rodentia; Sciuridae. The record is from RNAcentral.